Molecule: long non-coding RNA, 3323 nt
Organism: Haliotis rufescens (red abalone)
Lineage: Eukaryota; Metazoa; Mollusca; Gastropoda; Lepetellida; Haliotidae
Exons: 2
Source: RefSeq, a predicted model, not a curated record
UGAGGUACUGGGGACGUAUUCUGCCCAGAAUCCCCAUAGAGAGAGACAAGCAUGAGGAACUGGGGACAUAUUCUGCCCAGAAUCCCCAUAGAGAGAGACAAGCAUGAGGUACUAGGGACGUAUUCUGCCCGGAAUCCCUAGAGAGAGAAAAGCAUGAGGUAUUGGUGACGUAUUCUGCCCAGAAUCCCUAGAGAGAGACAAGCAUGAGGUACUGGUGACGUAUUCUGCCCGGAAUCCCUAGAGAGAGAUAAGCAUGAGGUAUUGGUGACGUAUUCUGCCCAGAAUCCCUAGAGAGAGACAAGCAUGAGGUAUUGGUGACGUAUUCUGCCCGGAAUCCCUAGAGAGAGACAAGCAUGAGGUAUUGGUGACGUAUUCUGCCCGGAAUCCCUAGAGAGAGACAAGCAUGAGGUACUGGGAAUGUAUUCUGCCCGGAAUUCCUAGAGAGAGACAAGAAUGAGGUACUGGUGACGUAUUCUGCCCGGAAUCCCUAGAGAGAGAAAAGCAUGAGGUAUUGGUGACGUAUUCUGCCCAGAAUCCCCAUAGAGAGACAAGCAUGAGAUACUGGGGAUAUAUUCUGCCCAGAAUCCCUAGAGAGAGACAAGCAUGAGGUACUGGGGAUAUAUUCUGCCCAGAAUCCCUAGAGAGAGACAAGCAUGAGGUACUGGGGAUAUAUUCUGCCCAGAAUCCCUAGAGAGAGACAAGCAUGAGGUACUGGGGAUGUAUUCUGCCCGGAAUUCCUAGAGAGAGACAAGCAUGAGGUACUGGGGAUGUAUUCUGCCCGGAAUCCCUAGAGAGAGACAAGCAUGAGGUACUGGGGAUGUAUUCUGCCCGGAAUUCCUAGAGAGAGACAAGCAUGAGGUAUUGGGGAUGUAUUCUGCCCGGAAUCCCCAUAGAGAGACAAGCAUCAGGUACUGGGAAUGUAUUCUGCCCGGAAUCCCCAUAGAGAGACAAGCAUGAGGUACUGGGGAUGUAUUCUGCCCGGAAUCCCCAUAGAGAGACAAGCAUGAGGUACUGGGGAUGUAUUCUGCCCAGAAUCCCUAGAGAGAGACAAGCAUGAGGUAUUGGGACAUAUUCUGCCCAGAAUCCCUAGAGAGAGACAAGCAUGAGGUAUUGGGGACGUAUUCUGCCCAGAAUCCCCAUAGAGAGUACAAGCAUGAGGUACUGGGGACGUAUUCUGCCCAGAAUCCCCAUAGAGAGACAAGCAUGAGGUAUUGGGGACGUAUUCUGCCCGGAAUCCCCAUAGAGAGACAAGCAUCAGAUAUUGGGGAUGUAUUCUGCCCAGAAUCCCCCUAGAGAGACAAGCAUGAGGUACUGGGGACGUAUUCUGCCCAUAAUCCCCAUAGAGAGACAAGCAUCAGGUACUGGGAAUGUAUUCUGCCCAGAAUCCCCAUAGAGAGACAAGCAUCAGGUAUUGGGGACGUAUUCUGCCCAGAAUCCCUAGAAAGCAACAAGCAUCAGGUACUGGGGACGUAUUCUGCCCAGAAUCCCCAUAGAGAGACAAGCAUCAGGUAUUGGGGACGUAUUCUGCACAGAAUCCCUAGAGAGACAAGCAUGAGGUACUGGGGAUGUAUUCUGCCCAGAAUCCCUAGAGAGAGACAAGCAUCAGGUACUGGGGACGUAUUCUGCCCAGAAUCCCCAUAGAGAGACAAGCAUCAGGUAUUGGGGACGUAUUCUGCCCAGAAUCCCUAGAGAGACAAGCAUGAGGUACUGGGGAUGUGUUCUGCCCAGAAUCCCCAUAGAGAGACAAGCAUCAGGUAUUGGGGACGUAUUCUGCCCAGAUUCCCUAGAGAGAGACAAGCAUGAGGUACUGGGGAUGUAUUCUGCCCAGAAUCCCCAUAGAGAGACAAGCAUGCGGUACUGGGAAUGUAUUCUGCCCAGAAUCCCUAGAGAGACAAGCAUGAGGUACUGGGGAUGUAUUCUGCCCAGAAUCCCCAUAGAGAGACAAGCAUGAGGUACUGGGGGAUGUAUUCUGCCCAGAAUCCCUAGAGAGAGACAAGCAUCAGGUACUGGGGAUGUAUUCUGCCCAGAAUCCCUAGAGAGAGACAAGCAUCAGGUACUGGGAAUGUAUUCUGCCCAGAAUCCCUAGAGAGACAAGCAUCAGGUACUGGGGACGUAUUCUGCCCAGAAUCCCUAGAGAGCAACAAGCAUCAGGUACUGGGGACGUAUUCUGCCCAGAAUCCCCAUAGAGAGACAAGCAUGAGGUACUGGGAAUGUAUUCUGCCCAGAAUCCCUAGAGAGACAAGCAUGAGGUACUGGGGAUGUGUUCUGCCCAGAAUCAGGGAUGUGAAAUCUCGUCGGAAAAGCGGGAAAUCACGUUUUUUAAAGCAGUAGUCCUUGGAAAAAAUCAUUCGGAGAAUCCCUAGAGACAGCUUCAGCAGUCAAGGUCAAGGAAAAACAAACAGCUUCAGACCUGAGUUGCUUCUAACAUAACAGGUCAGUCCGGGGAACAUAUUAACAAAAGACAAGCGACCAGAGACUUCAUUGUAGAUGAUGUUUAUUGUUUAUGCUAUGUUGGAGUAUGUACACCAUGUAAACACAAUGAGAACAACAUGGACCUUCAAGUAAAACAACCUUAGCACUGGUCAACUCCAACUGUCUCUUGUUUCAGUCUGGGCAUGUAGAUUUUGAUUUACGGGAGUUUGGUUUUACGCCACUUUGACCACUGUUUCAGUCAUAUCAUGGCGACUGAACUGUUUGAUUGGCACUUUUAGUAGCUGUUUUGGUAAAGACAGUACAAAGAUAUAAACCAGAUAUUCUCAUAGAUCAUAAUAUUGUUUGUUUGUUUAACGCCUCACUCAGCAGUAUUCCAGCUAUAUGACGGCGGUCUGUAAAUAAUCGAGUCUGGACCAGACAAUCCAGUGAUUGACAUCGGGAGCAUCGAUCCAUGCAAUUGGGAUCGAUGACAUGUAUCAACCAAGUCAGAGAGCCUGACCACCCGAUCCCGUUAAUCACCUCUUAUGAAAAAAAAAAAAAAAUGAAGUUGUAAUCCAUAAAAUAACUUGUCUUCAAUGUCAUGGCGAGUCAUCUAGAUGAAGGAUGAAAGCCUGAGGUGAUGCAGGUCUUGUAGUGAAACCCAUGUUUCUGACAAAUGAUGUUACAGACAGGAAAGAAAGUAUGCAUAAUAAAUGACAGUUAGCUACCAAGCAAGUUCAUCGUCUCUCGUACCAGAAACCAAGAACAUUUUUUUGGCCUUGCUUUUUACUGAAACCAAUCAGAACCCUGAAUUUGAAAUUCCUGAAAUGAUAUUGAGUGUUCUUCUCAAUAGAACUUGAUCUUAUUGGUCCAUAAUGAUAAUGCAUGGAUAUAAAAAUAUAUAGAACUAA